AAGGGAGACCUAAUUCUGGUAAGAGACGAAAAAAAGUAGUCGCUACCAAGAAUCAAUCCCAAAAGGUCGGAGCGAGGCGAAAUUGGCUUUCAAACUAGGUUCUGGGUUCAAACAAGACCUGAAUCAGGAACAAGGGCUAUUAGCUCAGGUGGUUAGAGCGCACCCCUGAUAAGGGUGAGGUCCCUGGUUCGAGUCCAGGAUGGCCCACCUGCACAGGUGGCAAAAACAAGAGAAGCGAGGAAUCAGCACCUUAUCUUACUGACAUAGUAAGAGAGAAUGCUGGCUCUGAGUAAAGAGUCCAGAGGAACCUUGAAAACUGCAUAGAGCUAGGUGAAAAAGCCAAAAAAGAAGACCGCAAGGUCAAGCUAAUAAGGGCUAACGGUGGAUACCUAGGCAC
This 397-nucleotide transfer RNA is filed under the name uncultured Microcystis sp. Its description in RNAcentral is "partial contains 16S-23S ribosomal RNA intergenic spacer, and 23S ribosomal RNA". The stretch from base 134 to 207 matches the Rfam family "tRNA". Lineage: Bacteria; Bacillati; Cyanobacteriota; Cyanophyceae; Chroococcales; Microcystaceae. The record is from RNAcentral.